Molecule: transfer RNA, 83 nt
Filed under: Felis catus (domestic cat)
Lineage: Eukaryota; Metazoa; Chordata; Mammalia; Carnivora; Felidae
Rfam family: tRNA
About the family: Transfer RNA (tRNA) molecules are approximately 80 nucleotides in length. Their secondary structure includes four short double-helical elements and three loops (D, anti-codon, and T loops).
Source: Rfam by way of RNAcentral
GCCUGGGUGGCUCAGUCACUUGAGCGUCUGACCUCGGCUCAGGUCAUGAACUCAGUUUGUGGGUUCAAGUCCCACAUCAGGCU